GAAUUUGAAUGAGGAGCCUCAGCGCUUUCGGCGCCAUUUUCGAGUGAUGCCUGAUCUCAUCAAUCUAGCGGGAGAGACGGGAUAACCUGUCCGAGAGUACAGCGCCACUAGGACUCCGCCGAAAAAUCACUUAAAUCUCCAAAAAUUACUUCGAGCAAAGGGCAGGUGGCGGAGCUUGGCCAGUGUUGGCGCAGCCGGUUUUGACCUUUAGGAGAGAGCCAAUUCUGGAGAACAACCUAACUUCUUUGAUUGAACAUUCACAUAAUGCAAUGGAACAUGAUAGGAGAUUAAGGUUAAUAGCAAUAAAAUGAAGAUCAUAAUAAAACAAGCCCCCUACUUAGCCCUGUGGUUCUUAUCUAUCUUACCUACUUGAUGAAGAUGUCUUUUGAACAGUGUACUGCCAAGAUAUGAAAUGCUGUUCAUUUCAUGAAAAAGUAAAUUAUGCUUUUUACCAAGGUGGAUAUUACUAUCCCUUAUUCAUGGAAAAAGUUUUAUUCUAAGUGUUGUGUCUCAUUGAGUAUUAGCAAAAAGGAGAAAUAUUAAUGCUUUUGAGAUAGAUUUGGCUCUAGUAAGUACUGAGAUGUAUUAUUUGCAUAUCUGGGAGAAGAAAUGAGAGACCAUCAUCAGUACAUUUCCAGCUAAAAUUCUAUAUUUUCUUGCAUCUCAUGAAGGGAUUCCUUAUAAUUUCUGUUUUAUUACUAAUAGCUUGAACCCCUUUAAUGGAGAAUUAAUUUCUCCACCAGAGUUUAAAAAUUUAUGUUCUUACCUUGUUUAUUUAUAAAAUAUAUCCCACAGAUUUCUGAUGUCUAUUUUUUAGGCUAUAUACAAGUAAGAAAUGUUGGCAAAAUAAAUAAGUUUAAACCUUUUAUAUUAAAAUUACUAUGCAGAGUGACAAGUUAGUUGCUGUUUUUUGUCUUUAUUAUACUGAAAUUAAAUUCAACAUUUGUAAUUUCUAUUUGGGUCUAUUUCUUGAUUAUUAAUACAUAGGAUUCAUGCAAAGCUUCAUGAAUAACACAUUUAGAUUAGCAUAUUAAUGAAUGCAGGUCCCCCUUAAUUCUGUGGGACUUUGAAUAAUCUGAUAUUUGUUAUUUCUUAUGAUUGGACUUUGGUGUUUUGAAAAAAAUGUAAACUUCCUAGAGAAUCUUGUUAUUGUUUAUCUUAUGCUGUAGGGUUAGAUUUUGCUUGAGAAAUUUGCUGAGAAAAAAAUUUUUAAGCCACUUUUACACUAAAUGUUCCUCAAUAUGAUUAACCUGUUAUUAAAGCUAUUCCAUAUAUCUUUAUUUUAUAAUUUAAGUUUAUCAUGGAUUAU
Molecule: long non-coding RNA, 1309 nt
Filed under: Sus scrofa (pig)
Lineage: Eukaryota; Metazoa; Chordata; Mammalia; Artiodactyla; Suidae
Description: lncRNA (ENSSSCG00000051290.2)
Source: RNAcentral